GUAGGAGAUCAAAGAUCAAGCUAGAAACAAUUAUAGUUUGAUCUUUGAUCCUCCUUCAGG
This 60-nucleotide microRNA precursor is filed under the name Pristionchus pacificus. RNAcentral's name for it is "microRNA ppc-mir-8324 precursor". Lineage: Eukaryota; Metazoa; Nematoda; Chromadorea; Rhabditida; Neodiplogasteridae. The record is from miRBase by way of RNAcentral.